Molecule: unclassified non-coding RNA, 2588 nt
Filed under: Leishmania donovani
Lineage: Eukaryota; Euglenozoa; Kinetoplastea; Trypanosomatida; Trypanosomatidae
Description: gene:LdHU3.25.1790(CDS-product:DNA_polymerase_del ta_subunit_2_putative)
Source: RNAcentral
CAUGACACACCACUAACUGGGAGCGACCGCUACGUUGACGGAUCAAACUCGAAAAGCGAUUGGUAUACGGGAGCGAUUCGAAGCGGUCUAAAAGAGCGCAUGUAGUCCCCCUCAGCUCUCGCUCGCACGACCAUCCCCUCUCCUCCCCCCCAGCAACACACACACACACACACAUACACAUAGGCCACAGGGAGAACGAUAGACGCGUACACGGGGCUGCACGCACACAUAGAACACACUGCAAUAGAAAGCACUGGCGAGAGGAAGAGUGUCAGUUAUGAUCAGUAACGGCUCUGCUGCUGCGGCUGUCGAGACACGCAGCGCGUGCCCCAUUACACGUACCCAUCAGCGCUUUCUUCUUCGUUCUCUGGAGUUCACGCAGCAGUAUGCACCCAUGUACCGAUGCCGAAUGGGGGCGCAAUACACGUCUGCUCUGCAUGCCAUCCAGCGCAUUGUGCGGGAGGACCCGAUGUAUGGUCCAGAGGCCGGGGCCAUGAAGCCCCGGCGCGUGCUUGAGCUGCAACCGGGCAUGCCAGCUGUGUGCGUCGGCAUUGUGUACAAGAACAUGAAGCUGCUGCCCCGCUUCCUUGAUGAGUAUCAGAGUGAGCUCGUCCGCAUUGACGCUGGCGAUGAUAACGAUGAGGAGAGCGGCGUCGUGGAGGCCGCGCCUCCCGAGAGAUCUGAGGAUGCUGCAGCCGCUGCAAUGCGCCUCGGCAAUGAGGCCGAAGAAGAUGCGAGCAACGACGGGCAAACGCUUGCCGCCGCCGAUGAGCACUACAGCGUGUGCAACAGCGCCGAUGAGCUGAUGUUGGAGGACAGCAGCGGCCGUGUCCUGCUGCAAGGACUCGAUGCCGAGCGCUUCUGCACCGGGGUUGUGCUGGGCGUCUACGGUACCCUGCUCCCCAAUGGCAGCAUUAAGGUGCUUCGCUACGCCUUCAGCGGGGACUUGCGCUUCACGUUUGUCCCGCGUCCGUUGAUUCGCGCCGCAAGCCCGUGCUACAUCGCGUUUGUGAGCGGACUGAGCAUCAACAUCCCACGUGGCAGUAGCAAGGAGGAGCAGGCCGCGGCGACUCGCGCGCGCGCCUCGCUGGAGCUGUUGGUGGAGUUCCUAUGCGGCAACACGGGCAACGCCUCCUUGCGAGCCAAGGCGAAGUGCGUCUCGCGACUGGUGAUCGGAGGUGACAGUAUUGCCCCCACUGACGAGCUGAAGCUCAAGAAGAAGGUGAAGCUCGACCCGUCUGACCACGUGCGGCUGAACGAUGACAAGGCACAAGCUAGCACGGUCACCUCCGCCGCGUUAAUGCGGCAGCUGGACACGCUGCUGGAGCGCGUUGUGCGCACCGUGGAGGUGGAGCUGAUGCCGGGCGCCAACGACAUGUCCGAUGCGUUUCAGCCGCAGCAGCCGCUGCAUCCCUUGCUGCUCCCCAAAGCUGGCAAGCACUCCACCCUGCGACUCGUCUCGAAUCCGUUCUGCUUCACUGCACAGCCGCCCGCCGCGGCCACCGCCGAGUUGGAGGUGAGGAGCGAGGAGCGCGUGGGGUCAGAGGCGAAGAAACACAAGGUCGAGGUAGCCGACGGUGUCAACUUCUUCGUGACGUCCGGGCAGAACAUAAACGACGUGGCCCGCGAGUCACGCUUCCCGACGCGGCUGGACGCCAUGUGCAUGGUGGUGGUGUCUGGCUGCGCCUGCCCGACAGCUCCCAACACGCUCUUCAGCUACCCUUUCUGCAACCACGACCCUUUCCUGUUCCAGCACACGCCGCAUUGCGUCGUGGCUUGCGAUCAGCCGCAGUUCGAGACGCGCUACGCAACGCUGGAGGAGCUGCACGAAGAGACUCACCGCAGCUUCACGGGUCCAGCUUCGCUAUCAGUGCAAUCGAAGGAGAAGCUGAGCGCCGCGUCUACGAAGGAUGAGGAGAAUAAGGCUGUCCCUGCAGAGGCUGGCGUGCGCCUGAUCUGCGUGCCGUCCUUUGCCCGCUCUGGGGCGCUGGUGCUGGUGGACGUGAACUCACCAACGCUGGAGACGAGUGUCGUGACCUUCUCGGUGCCGUGAGAUGAGGAGGGAGUGUGGGAGACGGCGGCAGGUGCGCGGUGUUUCUGUGCCGUUUGGGCCUUGCAUGUGUGCGGUGCUGAGGCCUUGCAUGAUGGCGUCAGUGCUGAGUUAUAGAUCGUCACAACGCUCGCGCAAGCAGGGCGGCAUAGUGGCGAGCAGCAGCGAUACUGAGGGGCUCCGCUUUGUGCGGAGGGCGUCUGCGUACCGAGUGCACAACGCCUGCACAGCCAUUGCGACGCAACCGCCGCUGUCAUCGCUGCUUUCUCUCCAUGGGGAGGGGUUUCGUUGCGUAUGACGGGGAGGAGGAGUGCUGUUUGGGAGGAGCGGUAGACUAUGGAAUUCGUGACGGCGGUGCUAGUGCUGCCCGUCCUUCUCUGCUCACUACCUCCUUCCCUGCCGUGCGCACAUAGGUGGGUAUGCACGUGAUGGAACUGAAGAACACCAACGAGAAAAGGAAAAAGAACACCCCGCUGAGCUCUCUCUCUCCCCCUUGCGCUUUGCGUGUGCGUAGGUGCGCCGCUUCUCCCCCGUGCUC